RNAcentral lists this unclassified non-coding RNA (267 nucleotides) under plant metagenome. RNAcentral describes it as "partial contains small subunit ribosomal RNA, internal transcribed spacer 1, and 5.8S ribosomal RNA". The record is from RNAcentral.
UCUCCGUAGGUGAACCUGCGGAAGGAUCAUUAUCGUACAAAAGGUGAGGGGCAUGCGAGGGCUGUCGCUAGCCAUCAAGUCGUGCACGCCCGAGUGUGUCCCCUUGCAUAAUAAUCCAGCUCACCCUUUGUGCGUCACCGCGUGGGCACCCUUCGGGAUCAUCUCGGAGGGGGGCUCGCGUUUUCACACAAACCCCCCUUUUGAAAGUGUAGUAUGUCCACAUUUAUGCAAUAAAUACAACUUUCAACAACGGAUCUCUUGGCUCUC